RNAcentral lists this small RNA (16 nucleotides) under Arabidopsis thaliana (thale cress). RNAcentral describes it as "ATSL178740". The record is from RNAcentral. Lineage: Eukaryota; Viridiplantae; Streptophyta; Magnoliopsida; Brassicales; Brassicaceae.
UGGUGGUCAGGUUCAU